CAGUUCGGAUUGCAGGCUGCAACUCGCCUGCAUGAAGUCGGAAUUGCUAGUAAUCGCGGAUCAGCAUGCCGCGGUGAAUAUGUUCCCGGGCCUUGUACACACCGCCCGUCACACCAUGGGAGUCAGUAACGCCCGAAGCCGGUGACCCAACCAAGAAUGGAGGGAGCCGUCGAAGGUGGGACCGAUAACUGGGGUGAAGUCGUAACAAGGUAAC
Molecule: ribosomal RNA, 214 nt
Filed under: uncultured bacterium
Lineage: Bacteria
Description: partial 16S ribosomal RNA
Rfam family: Bacterial small subunit ribosomal RNA
Source: RNAcentral